Molecule: ribosomal RNA, 496 nt
Filed under: uncultured Bacteroidota bacterium
Lineage: Bacteria; Pseudomonadati; Bacteroidota
Description: bacterial SSU rRNA
Rfam family: Bacterial small subunit ribosomal RNA
Source: RNAcentral
AGAGUUUGAUCAUGGCUCAGGAUGAACGCUAGCGAUAGGCUUAACACAUGCAAGUCGAGGGGCAGCACAUGAGUGGCAACACGAUGGUGGCGACCGGCGCACGCGUGAGUACCACGUAUGCAACCUGCCCAUAACUGGGGGAUAACCCGUCGAAAGGCGGACUAAUACCGCAUGACAACGCUGAUCCGCAUGGUGAGGCGUUUAAAGAUUUAUCGGUUAUGGAUGGGCAUGCGUUCCAUUAGAUUGUUGGUAGGGUAACGGCCUACCAAGUCUGCGAUGGAUAGGGGUUCUGAGAGGAAGGUCCCCCACACUGGUACUGAGACACGGACCAGACUCCUACGGGAGGCAGCAGUGAGGAAUAUUGGUCAAUGGGCGAGAGCCUGAACCAGCCAAAUCGCGUGAAGGAUGAAGGUAUUAUGUAUUGUAAACUUCUUUUGUCAGGGAAUAAAGUGCGGGACGUGUCCCGUUGGUAUGUACCUGAAGAAUAAGGAUCGGC